CCACCACCAAAGCAUUUGCUGUACCGCGUUGACGGAGCGAAGCGACGUCAAACCGAUAAAACAGCAGUGUAAAGUGAGCCGCAGGGCGCUUUGCGCGACAGCGCAAAGGCAGGCGGUUUCGCGUAGCGAAAGCGAAUGCUUUGGGGUGGGGUGACUGCGUACCUUUUGUAUAAUGGGUCAGCGACUUAUAUUCUGUAGCAAGGUUAACCGAAUAGGGGAGCCGGAGGGAAACCGAGUCUUAAUUGGGCGUUAAGUUGCAGGGUAUAGACCCGAAACCCGGUGAUCUAGCCAUGGGCAGGUUGAAGGGUGGGUAACACUAACUGGAGGACCGAACCGACUAAUGUUGAAAAAUUAGCGGAUGACCUGUGGCUGGGGGUGAAAGGCCAAUCAAACCGGGAGAUAGCUGGUUCUCCCCGAAAGCUAUUUAGGUAGCGCCUCGUGAAUUCAUCUCCGGGGGUAGAGCACUGUUUCGGCUAGGGGGCCAUCCCGGCUUACCAACCCGAUGCAAACUGCGAAUACCGGAGAAUGUUAUCACGGGAGACACACGGCGGGUGCUAACGUCCGUCGUGAAGAGGGAAACAACCCAGACCGCCAGCUAAGGUCCCAAAGUCAUGGUUAAGUGGGAAACGAUGUGGGAAGGCCCAGACAGCCAGGAUGUUGGCUUAGAAGCAGCCAUCAUUUAAAGAAAGCGUAAUAGCUCACUGGUCGAGUCGGCCUGCGCGGAAGAUGUAACGGGGCUAAACCAUGCACCGAAGCUGCGGCAGCGACACUGUGUGUUGUUGGGUAGGGGAGCGUUCUGUAAGCCUGUGAAGGUGUGUCGUGAGGCAUGCUGGAGGUAUCAGAAGUGCGAAUGCUGACAUAAGUAACGAUAAAGCGGGUGAAAAGCCCGCUCGCCGGAAGACCAAGGGUUCCUGUCCAACGUUAAUCGGGGCAGGGUGAGUCGACCCCUAAGGCGAGGCCGAAAGGCGUAGUCGAUGGGAAACGGGUUAAUAUUCCCGUACUUGGUGUUACUGCGAAGGGGGGACGGAGAAGGCUAUGUUGGCCGGGCGACGGUUGUCCCGGUUUAAGCGUGUAGGUGUGUGUUCCAGGUAAAUCCGGUUCACUUUAACACUGAGGCGUGACGACGAGGCACUACGGUGCUGAAGCAACAAAUGCCCUGCUUCCAGGAAAAGCCUCUAAGCAUCAGGUAACAUCAAAUCGUACCCCAAACCGACACAGGUGGUCAGGUAGAGAAUACCAAGGCGCUUGAGAGAACUCGGGUGAAGGAACUAGGCAAAAUGGUGCCGUAACUUCGGGAGAAGGCACGCUGACACGUAGGUGAAGUGAUUUACUCAUGGAGCUGAAGUCAGUCGAAGAUACCAGCUGGCUGCAACUGUUUAUUAAAAACACAGCACUGUGCAAACACGAAAGUGGACGUAUACGGUGUGACGCCUGCCCGGUGCCGGAAGGUUAAUUGAUGGGGUCAGCGCAAGCGAAGCUCCUGAUCGAAGCCCCGGUAAACGGCGGCCGUAACUAUAACGGUCCUAAGGUAGCGAAAUUCCUUGUCGGGUAAGUUCCGACCUGCACGAAUGGCGUAAUGAUGGCCAGGCUGUCUCCACCCGAGACUCAGUGAAAUUGAACUC
This 1622-nucleotide ribosomal RNA is filed under the name Salmonella enterica subsp. enterica serovar Enteritidis. RNAcentral's name for it is "partial 23S ribosomal RNA". It matches the Rfam family "Bacterial large subunit ribosomal RNA", at positions 572 to 2043 of the family's 2925-position model. The record is from RNAcentral. Lineage: Bacteria; Pseudomonadati; Pseudomonadota; Gammaproteobacteria; Enterobacterales; Enterobacteriaceae.